This 252-nucleotide ribosomal RNA is filed under the name uncultured bacterium. RNAcentral's name for it is "partial 16S ribosomal RNA". It matches the Rfam family "Bacterial small subunit ribosomal RNA", at positions 526 to 779 of the family's 1533-position model. The record is from RNAcentral.
CGUAUGUUCCAAGCGUUAUCCGGAUUUAUUGGGCGUAAAGCGAGCGCAGACGGUUAUUAAGUCCGAAGUGAAAGCCCACAGCUUAACUGUGGAAGUGCUUUGGAAACUGGAUAACUUGAGUGCAGUAGAGGAGAGUGGAACUCCAUGUGUAGCGGUGAAAUGCGUAGAUAUAUGGAAGAACACCAGUGGCGAAGGCGGCUCUCUGGACUGUAACUGACGUUGAGGCUCGAAAGUGUGGUAGCAAACAGGAUU